GAUGAACGCUGACAGCAUGCUUAACACAUGCAAGUCAACUUGAAUUUGGGUUUUUAACUUAGGUUUGGGUGGCGGACGGGUGAGUAACGCGUAAAGAACUUGCCUCACAGCUAGGGACAACAUUUGGAAACGAAUGCUAAUACCUAAUAUUAUGAUAAUAGGGCAUCCUAUAAUUAUGAAAGCUAUAAGCGCUGUGAGAGAGCUUUGCGUCCCAUUAGCUAGUUGGAGAGGUAACGGCUCACCAAGGCGAUGAUGGGUAGCCGGCCUGAGAGGGUGAGCGGCCACAAGGGGACUGAGACACGGCCCUUACUCCUACGGGAGGCAGCAGUGGGGAAUAUUGGACAAUGGACCAAGAGUAUGAUCCAGCAAUUCUGUGUGCACGAUGAAGUUUUUCGGAAUGUAAAGUGCUUUCAGUUGGGAAGAAAGAAAUGACGGUACCAACAGAAGAAGUGACGGCUAAAUACGUG
RNAcentral lists this ribosomal RNA (467 nucleotides) under uncultured bacterium. RNAcentral describes it as "partial 16S ribosomal RNA". It matches the Rfam family "Bacterial small subunit ribosomal RNA", at positions 28 to 507 of the family's 1533-position model. The record is from RNAcentral.